GAUGAACGCUGGCGGCGUGCCUAAUACAUGCAAGUCGAGCGAACAGACGAGGAGCUUGCUCCUCUGACGUUAGCGGCGGACGGGUGAGUAACACGUGGAUAACCUACCUAUAAGACUGGGAUAACUUCGGGAAACCGGAGCUAAUACCGGAUAAUAUAUUGAACCGCAUGGUUCAAUAGUGAAAGACGGUUUUGCUGUCACUUAUAGAUGGAUCCGCGCCGCAUUAGCUGGUUGGUAAGGUAACGGCUUACCAAGGCGACGAUGCGUAGCCGACCUGAGAGGGUGAUCGGCAACACUGGAACUGAGACACGGUCCAGACUCCUACGGGAGGCAGCAGUAGGGAAUCUUCCGCAAUGGGCGAAAGCUUGACGGAGCAACGCCGCGUGAGUGAUGAAGGUCUUCGGAUCGUAAAACUCUGUUAUGAGGGAAGAACAAAUGUGUAAGUAACUAUGCACGUCUUGACGGUACCUAAUCAGAAAGCCACGGCUAACUACGUG
Molecule: ribosomal RNA, 497 nt
Filed under: uncultured bacterium
Lineage: Bacteria
Description: partial 16S ribosomal RNA
Rfam family: Bacterial small subunit ribosomal RNA
Source: RNAcentral